AACGGGUGAUAAAUACAUCGGAACGUACCUGCCGUGGGGGAUACUACGAAAGGUUGGCUAAUACCGCAUACGACCUGAGGGUGAAGCGGGGACGCAAGGCCUCGCGCGAUAGAGCGGCCGAUGUCCGAUUACUAUUGGUAGGUAAAGGCCUACCAAGGCGACGAUCGGUACUGGUCUGAAGGAUGAUCACCACACUGGGACUGAACACGGCCCAACUCCUACGGAGCAAUGGGGAAUUUUGGACAAUGGGGGCAACCCUGAUCCAGCCAUUCCGCGUGAGUGAAGAAGGCCUUCGGGUUGUAAAGCUCUUUCGGCAGGAACGAAACGGUCUCUCUAACAUAGGGGGCUAAUGACGGUACCUGAAGAAGAAGCACCGGCUAACUACGUGCCAGCAGCCGCGGUAAUACGUAGGUGCGAGCGUUAAUCGGAAUUACUGGGCGUAAAGCGUGCGCAGGCGGUUUUGUAAGACAGAUGUGAAAUCCCCGGGCUUAACCUGGGAAAUUGCGUUUGUGACUGCAAGACUGGAGUGCGGCACGAGGGGGGUGGAAUUCCACGUGUAGCAAGCGAAAUGCGUAAAAGAUGUGGAGGAACACCGGAUGG
This 600-nucleotide ribosomal RNA is filed under the name uncultured bacterium. RNAcentral describes it as "bacterial SSU rRNA". It matches the Rfam family "Bacterial small subunit ribosomal RNA", at positions 101 to 716 of the family's 1533-position model. The record is from RNAcentral.